Molecule: non-coding RNA, 431 nt
Organism: Pygocentrus nattereri (red-bellied piranha)
Lineage: Eukaryota; Metazoa; Chordata; Actinopteri; Characiformes; Serrasalmidae
Source: the annotation of a RefSeq genome assembly
CCACCAUGAAGUGUCUGUGCUCUCUGACUGUCUUUGUCAUCAUGAUAGUGAACUGCGCUUCACAGUCAAUAGCACCACUGGAUAACAAAACACAGGUUCAUGCUCUUGAAGACGAGAGAGUUAUUCUCUCCUGCACGUAUAAUGGUAGAGUGAGUAAUCUGCAGUGGUUUCGUCAGUAUCCUGGAUCCAGACCAGAGUUUUUGCUGCUGAAAUAUCCAGGAGCAAGUGGUGUAGUCCCUGCAGACCCUCCUUUCCCUCGACUGGAUGCCAAAGUGAAUGGAAGUAGAGUGAAUCUGUUGAUCUCCUCUGCUGCAGUAUCAGACUCUGCACUCUACUACUGUGCUCUGGAGCCCACAGUGACAGGAAACCCAGCUACACUGUACAAAAACUUACUGCAGGAGGAUGCUUUGCAUUUGGUAAUAGGUCUGUAG